UAUCUUCCUACAAAGGCAGCUGUCUUUCGCUGUAGGAGACAUCAGGCUCUAACUUCACCUGUGGCAAAGGGAAACUGUUUUGCAGACAGAGUUCUCAGGGAAUCCAGCCUGCACAGCACCUAUUCAGCUUCAGCCUUUUUCCUUGCCCCUACCUCCUUCACUCCUUAAUACACCCCAGGACAGUACCAAACUCUUAACAAAACUGGUGCCAUCCAGGGACCACAAGGCUGGCUACUCCUGGGGCAUCUCUACUGCUAGCCUGAUCUCCAAGCUACUACUACCCUGACCCACCUACAUAAUCUAGUUCAUGUGGGAGCCUGCCCACUACCAAGAUUCCUGACCCCGCUCCCUUUCCAUCCUUGCCUCUCCUCUCUAGUCUCCUGUGACACAGGCUUGCUUACUACUGUGCACCAAGGCCUUUCCACAAGGGGGAGUCUGUCCCCCUCCCUCUUUCAAACCCCACCAAUACAGGUGCUCACUUCCCAUGGUGGACUGGUAGAUUUUACUUACAUGCCUCCUCACAAAAAGACUAAAUAUCUUUUCACUAUGGUGGAUACUUUCUCAGGGUAGGUUGAACCUUUUCCUAUGACAGAAGAAACUGCAAACAUAGUUGCAUCUCACAUUCUUGAAUCUAUUCUGCCCCACUUUGGCCUUCCCCUUACCAUUCAAUCAGACAAUGGAUCAGCCUUCAUUUCCAAGGUAACCCAGGAAGUAUCCAGAGACCUGGGGAAAAAUCAGAAACUCCAUAUUCCAUACAGGCCUCAGGCCUCAGGCAAAGUAGAAAGAGAAAAUGCCAUUCUCAAAACACACCUGUCUAAACUGACGUCUGCACUCCAUUUGUCCUGGCCCUAGCUCCUCCUACUUGCCUUAGCCUGAAUCAGAGCGACUCUGCGGGCCCCUGGCGGACAUAGGCAGGGCCCUGGGUUAAAGCAAACCUAGGCUGUCUGACACAAAGGUCCCAGGAUAUGGAGAGAUCACAGCAGCCUGAACAACUAACUGGUCAUGUCUCUGGAACCAGACCAGCAGGGGAGCUCCUCCCCCCAUUCUCAGGGGUCACAAUGAGCCUGGACCCCUGGACAAAAUCUUGGACCCUGGGAUCAGCAGGAAGUAAGGCCACUCCCUCUUCAAGCGCCUGAUGCCUGGACAUUCAGAUAAGACUUAGGUUUUGCCCAUAACCCUGUGGCCUUUGGCCAGCUGCCUAGGAAACUCUUUAUUUAUCAGCCAGAACCUUUGCACAGCCCAUUCCCCUGCCAUUUCCUAUAGGCUGGAAUGUAUGUCCCCAUAUGCUAAUUAGGCAUCAGCAAGCAACCUUGUACAGCCAAUCCUCUUAGGACCCUCUUCCCACCCUCAGCUGCUUAUAAACCCAUUUCCCUGACAACAAACGAAGCUGUUCACCAAAACUGUCUCCAGAAAGUCUUUUCUUUCACAUGCUCAUGACCAUGGUUGCCUGGGAUGCCUUUGUGGAAAACUCAGCCGGGCCCAGGAGGACUCAGGAACCCACAGCUGCUGCCUGAACAGAGACCCUAUGAAACUGGACAGGAUAGGGACCAGAUACGGUGAACUGGCAACUGUCAUCUCUUGGCUGAGGCCACUCUUCAGUAUUGACUGAAGGCCAGCUGUCCUCUGCCUGGACCUGGAUAGCCUGUUGGGUGUUGGCAAAAACCCUCUAUUUCUCUUCAACACAAAAAAAGGUUGCAGCCCUCCUCGACCACCCCGCGUAACAUUGGCCCCACAGGCUGGGGGCAAGUGGCGCCCAACGUGGGGCUUGAGGCACGGGUCUCGACCGGACAACUAACCACGCUGGAAAUCUCCUCGGGAUGCUGAGAGACAUUUUGAAGAGUGCCCCGCCAUUUCGUCGCUCACAAUUUCUGCUACAG
This is a long non-coding RNA of Jaculus jaculus (lesser Egyptian jerboa), 1877 nucleotides long. RefSeq lists it as uncharacterized. The record is from RefSeq and is a predicted model, not a curated record. The transcript is spliced from 3 exons. NCBI's taxonomy places the organism in Eukaryota, Metazoa, Chordata, Mammalia, Rodentia, Dipodidae.